AGUUGACAACAUUCACAUGUGCUAUACAGUGGUUCUAAACCUUUCCAAACUGCUGUACCCAUUUCAGGAGUCUGAUUUGUCUUGCAUAGCCCAAGUUUCACCUUACUUAAAAACUACUUGCUUACAAAAUCUGACAUAAAAUAUGAAAUUAUCACAGCGCUCUAUUACCAA
Long non-coding RNA from Dermochelys coriacea (leatherback sea turtle), 171 nucleotides. RefSeq lists it as uncharacterized. NCBI's taxonomy places the organism in Eukaryota, Metazoa, Chordata, Testudines, Dermochelyidae. The record is from RefSeq and is a predicted model, not a curated record. The transcript is spliced from 3 exons.